GCCAGUGUGGUGUAGUGAUUUGAGCAUGGACUACAACUCUGGGGACCAGGGUUCAAUUCCCAGUUUGGGCA
Phrynosoma platyrhinos (Desert horned lizard) is the source of this 71-nucleotide non-coding RNA. The record is from the annotation of a GenBank genome assembly. NCBI's taxonomy places the organism in Eukaryota, Metazoa, Chordata, Lepidosauria, Squamata, Phrynosomatidae.